GCAUGCUUUCACAUGCAAGUCGAACGGCAGCGCGGGCUUCGGCCUGGCGGCGAGUGGCGAACGGGUGAGUAAUAUAUCGGAACGUACCCAGAAGUGGGGGAUAACGUAGCGAAAGUUACGCUAAUACCGCAUACGAUCUACGGAUGAAAGCAGGGGACCUUCGGGCCUUGUGCUUUUGGAGCGGCCGAUAUCUGAUUAGCUAGUUGGUGAGGUAAGAGCUCACCAAGGCGACGAUCAGUAGCUGGUCUGAGAGGACGACCAGCCACACUGGAACUGAGACACGGUCCAGACUCCUACGGGAGGCAGCAGUGGGGAAUUUUGGACAAUGGGGGCAACCCUGAUCCAGCAACGCCGCGUGAGUGAAGAAGGCCUUCGGGUUGUAAAGCUCUUUUGUCAGGGAAGAAAAGGCGGUGGCUAAUAUCCAUCGCUGCUGACGGUACCUGAAGAAUAAGCACCGGCUAACUACGUGCCAGCAGCCGCGGUAAUACGUAGGGUGCAAGCGUUAAUCGGAAUUACUGGGCGUAAAGCGUGCGCAGGCGGUUUCGUAAGUCUGAUGUGAAAUCCCCGGGCUCAACCUGGGAAUUGCAUUGGAGACUGCGAGGCUAGAAUCUGGCAGAGGGGAGUAGAAUUCCACGUGUAGCAGUGAAAUGCGUAGAGAUGUGGAGGAACACCGAUGGCGAUUCUGGGCGUAAAGCGUGCGCAGGCGGUUUCGUAAGUCUGAUGUGAAAUCCCCGGGCUCAACCUGGGAAUUGCAUUGGAGACUGCGAGGCUAGAAUCUGGCAGAGGGGAGUAGAAUUCCACGUGUAGCAGUGAAAUGCGUAGAGAUGUGGAGGAACACCGAUGGCGAAGGCAGCCCCCUGGGUCAAGAUUGACGCUCAUGCACGAAAGCGUGGGGAGCAAACAGGAUUAGAUACCCUGGUAGUCCACGCCCUAAACGAUGUCUACUAGUUGUCGGGUUUUAAUUAACUUGGUAACGCAGCUAACGCGUGAAGUAGACCGCCUGGGGAGUACGGUCGCAAGAUUAAAACUCAAAGGAAUUGACGGGGACCCGCACAAGCGGUGGAUGAUGUGGAUUAAUUCGAUGCAACGCGAAAAACCUUACCUACCCUUGACAUGUCAGGAAGUCUGGAGAGAUCUGGAUGUGCCCGAAAGGGAGCCUGAACACAGGUGCUGCAUGGCUGUCGUCAGCUCGUGUCGUGGAUUAAUUCGAUGCAACGCGAAAAACCUUACCUACCCUUGACAUGUCAGGAAGUCUGGAGAGAUCUGGAUGUGCCCGAAAGGGAGCCUGAACACAGGUGCUGCAUGGCUGUCGUCAGCUCGUGUCGUGAGAUGUUGGGUUAAGUCCCGCAACGAGCGCAACCCUUGUCAUUAGUUGCUACGCAAGAGCACUCUAAUGAGACUGCCGGUGACAAACCGGAGGAAGGUGGGGAUGACGUCAAGUCCUCAUGGCCCUUAUGGGUAGGGCUUCACACGUCAUACAAUGGUACAUACAGAGGGCCGCCAACCCGCGAGGGGGAGCUAAUCCCAGAAAGUGUGUCGUAGUCCGGAUCGUAGUCUGCAACUCGACUACGUGAAGUUGGAAUCGCUAGUAAUCGCGGAUCAGCAUGCCGCGGUGAAUACGUUCCCGGGUCUUGUACACACCGCCCGUCACACCAUGGGAGCGGGUUUUACCAGAAGUAGGUAGCUUAACCGCAAGGAGGGCGCUUACCACGGUAGGAUUCGUGAC
Molecule: ribosomal RNA, 1726 nt
Filed under: uncultured bacterium
Lineage: Bacteria
Description: bacterial SSU rRNA
Rfam family: Bacterial small subunit ribosomal RNA
Source: RNAcentral